UUAAACUUGAGAGUUUGAUCAUGGCUCAGAAUGUACGCUGGCGGCACGCCUAACACAUGCAAGUCGAGCGAGGUACUUGUACCUAGCGGCAGACGGGUGCGUAACAUGUGGGUAUCUGCCUUUUGGUUCGGAACAACAUGGGGAAACCUGUGCUAAUACCGGAUAAGUCCUUACGGAGAAAGAUUUAUCGCCGAAAGAUGAGCCCGCACUAGAUUAGCUUGUUGGUAAGGUAAAAGCUUACCAAGGCUACGAUCUAUAGCUGAUUUGAGAGGAUGAUCAGCCACACUGGGACUGAGACACGGCCCAGACUCCUACGGGAGGCAGCAGUGGGGAAUCUUGCACAAUGGAGGAAACUCUGAUGCAGCGAUGCCGCGUGAGUGAAGAAGGCCCUUGGGUUGUAAAGCUCUUUUGUCGGGAAAGAUAAUGACUGUACCCGAAGAAUAAGGUCCGGCUAACUUCGUGCCAGC
RNAcentral lists this ribosomal RNA (467 nucleotides) under alpha proteobacterium HIMB114. RNAcentral's name for it is "bacterial SSU rRNA". It matches the Rfam family "Bacterial small subunit ribosomal RNA", at positions 1 to 512 of the family's 1533-position model. Lineage: Bacteria; Pseudomonadati; Pseudomonadota; Alphaproteobacteria; Candidatus Pelagibacterales; Candidatus Pelagibacteraceae. The record is from RNAcentral.